GCAAUAUUCAAAAACUUAUGCAUAUAGUUAUUGCAUAAUUCAUCCCUUUGAUCUUUAAUGCUCAAGAUGACCUAGGGUUUAACUGUCAACCCUAGAUAAGUCAUUCACAUUAUAUUUCAACCUUUCAAAUCCAUCAUAUGAAUUACAUGGGCUCAAAUUUUAUUAAAUUAAAAUAUAGUGAUGCAUUAAUUCUUAUAAU
This 199-nucleotide long non-coding RNA is filed under the name Elaeis guineensis (African oil palm). RNAcentral describes it as "long non-coding RNA (EGUI_LNC054377)". Lineage: Eukaryota; Viridiplantae; Streptophyta; Magnoliopsida; Arecales; Arecaceae. The record is from RNAcentral.